AACGAACGCUGGCGGCAUGCCUAACACAUGCAAGUCGAACGAGACCUUCGGGUCUAGUGGCGCACGGGUGCGUAACGCGUGGGAACCUGCCCUUAGGUUCGGAAUAACUCCCCGAAAGGGGUGCUAAUCCGGAUAAUGUCUUCGGACCAAAGAUUUAUCGCCUUUGGAUGGGCCCGCGUUGGAUUAGCUAGUUGGUAGGGUAAAAGCCUACCAAGGCGACGAUCCAUAGCUGGUCUGAGAGGAUGAUCAGCCACACUGGGACUGAGACACGGCCCAGACUCCUACGGGAGGCAGCAGUGGGGAAUAUUGGACAAUGGGCGAAAGCCUGAUCCAGCAAUGCCGCGUGAGUGAUGAAGGCCUUAGGGUUGUAAAGCUCUUUUACCCGGGAUGAUAAUGACAGUACCGGGAGAAUAAGCUCCGGCUAACUCCGUG
This 432-nucleotide ribosomal RNA is filed under the name uncultured bacterium. Its description in RNAcentral is "partial 16S ribosomal RNA". It matches the Rfam family "Bacterial small subunit ribosomal RNA", at positions 29 to 507 of the family's 1533-position model. The record is from RNAcentral.